AGAGCGAACGCUGGCGGCAGGCCUAACACAUGCAAGUCGAACGGACUCUUCGGAGUUAGUGGCGGACGGGUGAGUAACACGUGGGAACGUGCCUUUUGGUUCGGAAUAGCUCCUGGAAACGGGUGGUAAUGCCGAAUGUGCCCUUCGGGGGAAAGAUUUAUCGCCAUUAGAGCGGCCCGCGUCUGAUUAGCUAGUUGGUGAGGUAAAGGCUCACCAAGGCUACGAUCAGUAGCCGGUCUGAGAGGAUGACCAGCCACAUUGGGACUGAGACACGGCCCAAACUCCUACGGGAGGCAGCAGUGGGGAAUCUUGCGCAAUGGGCGAAAGCCUGACGCAGCCAUGCCGCGUGAAUGAUGAAGGUCUUAGGAUUGUAAAAUUCUUUCACCGGGGACGAUAAUGACGGUACCGGAGAAGAAGCCCGGCUAACUUCGUGCCAGCAGCCGC
This 444-nucleotide ribosomal RNA is filed under the name uncultured soil bacterium. Its description in RNAcentral is "bacterial SSU rRNA". It matches the Rfam family "Bacterial small subunit ribosomal RNA", at positions 26 to 518 of the family's 1533-position model. The record is from RNAcentral.